UGUUAUGUAAUUACGAGCAUUUUAAAAUAUGCAUAUAUUCUGAAAUUAUAUACGUCCUCACAAUUAAAUAAAUUCGGCCACUAGAAAAAAACAUGGGCCGAAUCUUGAUCUGGCCCAACAGAGGCACAUGGCUCGCGUGAUGACUAAGUGACGCCCAGGGCGUAGCUUAGCAGGAAGGCUGGGGCCAACCUUGGGCAUUAUAGGUUGGCUUGGGGAGGUGGCUCGGCCUUGCGGAGUGAGGCAGCGAGGCUAGGCCGCGUGGGGCGCCAGUCCAUGCUGGCGCAGGCAGGGUGCUGGGCUACGGAGCGGGCCGAUUAGGCCGGCUCACGUAGGGUCAACGCGAGCGACGAGCUCGUCGUCUCCCGAGCGUGCAGGGAGGCCAUGGCGGCGGCGAGGAACGGAAGCGGGACUGGGGGUUCCCGGAGGCAGAUCCGGCCUCGGGGCCGCCGGAUCUGAAGUGGGGCAGCCGACAGCAGUGCUCGGGGUCGGGGCGGCGGCAUCCUGCACGGCAAGCGGCCAUGGCUUUGCGGGGAGCUGCUGGCGGCACGGGGCACUCCGGUGAGGCAACGAGGGGCGGAUGCGCAAGGAGGUGACGUGCUUCGGUGCCCUCUGAACGGAGGUGGAGCAGAUUGGGGAGGCGGUUUCGACACUUCAGGGGAGCCACGGGAAGACUUGGGCAGCUGCGAGCACUGGCUUGCGGUGGCCCGAUGCGGGCCCGGGCAGGCUGGAUAUGGGUCCUGCGGGCCUGUGGCGUCUCGGAGGAGGCGCGGGUCAGUUGGCUGGCGGCAGCGCUAGGGUUGGGGCAUAGAGCCCGAGGUGGAAGAGGGGUUAUGGUCCAAAUUAGGCAGGUUGGGGUCUAUUUAUAGCAAAAUGGGGUUAGGGUUAGCUAUUUUAGCAUGGUUCGAGCCAUUCGAUCGUGAUUUGACGGCUCUGAUCGUGGGUUAGAUUAGGUGGACUAUGGGUUGUGUAGAGUGGUAAUGGGCUGAUAUGAGAUGGAGUUUGUGGCCCGAGACACGCGUUUUAAAAACUCCAAAAACUUCUGACAAUUAAAUGAUGGUGGUGCCGCUACGGUCGACCGUUCGGUUAUCAAACGGACUCCGGUUGAGAUGAAAUUUGGUAGGUUGUCCACCUAUAACAAUAUAAGUCCGCCCGCUAAGGUUCGAUCAAUCCGACAAUAUUUUAUACUUACUUUUGAAAACAAUAUCUUAAUGGUGCCGCGGGCAUGGACGUCUGUGGUUGGUCUCAAACGAUCCACCACAAAAACGGAGAGAAGCGACAGCUACUAAGAGAUGCAAGUUGUGAAAAUUGACGACAACGGAGUGCCGAUGCAAUGCAGAUGUGCGAAUGGUGCGAUGAAGAAUGAAAAAACAAAAUAAUUAACAAGGCAGCAACGGAAUAAAAGGGGAAUCUUCUGGAUGGUCGGUUUCGGACUGUUAUAACUCUCCUACACUAACAAGAGAUCUCGCCCCGAGAUCUAAGAAUGAAAGGAAAAGAGGAAGAGGUAAAACUUAGUUGCUCCUUGACAAACGAGUGAAACCAACGAUCCUUUAUGGUUGCAAAGAGACGAAGAAUGAUGUGAGAAGAAAACAAGAAUUCAAACAAAAUUUCAGCAGUAAUUCGGUAGGAAAGAGGGCAAAAUUGAUAAGAUGAAAAGAACUUAGAAAGGAUUUCAUGACACUCCGGUUGAAUGGACAAGCAAGGGAAGAACAUGAUCUUGACAAGACGAGAUGAUGGAACAAAGAGAGCAACAUCACAUGCCCCUAGAACAAAAGAAUAAAAACUAUAUCUUUAGAGAGAAGAGAAAAGAGAAGAAAAAGAAAGCUUCCACCACAAUUGAAUUUUUAGAGCAACCAUACAAGAAGAAUUGAGUGGAGUUGUUGUGAGGCGAACAACGAAAUAAGAAGUUUGUUAUGGGUUAUGGGAAACAUCUCAAAAUUAUGAGGUGAGAACCAACCACUAAGAGAAACAAUUGAUUGCUUGGGAGCAACAAGAGAUGAAAACUUCUUCCACCAAGAGGGUACAUUGAGAACCUAGAUAAACGGUAAUCACCAUAAUAGGAACAGUCCUUAGGAAAGCUUUAGGUGAAAUCGAGCCAAGAUAGCAUGAAUGAACAAAUCAUAGGUUGAAAAUAUCUCAUGAUCAAAUAAUUUGAUGGGUUUAAAUAUCUCAUUCUUGAAACAAAUUAUCUUCAAGACUCCUCAUGAAUGAAAAAUGCUAUAAUACCAUCUCAAAAGAUAAUGAAGGAAGAAUUGCACUUGAAAUGCGAGAGAAAGAAUACUUGAGGUUCUCCAACAAGGAACUGGAAGAACACCUUGAGAAUGAAUCGAAUCCUUAAAGAACCACCAUGAAGAACUUAUGUAUACAAAAGGAUAAUCAAAAGACAUCAAGGUUCAAAAGAAUAAGAUUAUGGCCUUGCAAAGAUUUAGACCAAGCUUCAUGAAGGGAUACUUGAGAAAAACUUGGAACUUCGGAAGAAAAGAUAAGAACACUUGGGAUAGAGAAUUAGAUAUCACGAACAACUCCAGGAAAGAAGGAUUGAAUUCACCUUGAAGAACAAGAAUAAUAAUAAUGUAAUGCCUAUCCUUCAUCAAGUUAAAAUUAUGACAAUCAAUGGAUUUAGCAUACCACUUAUUCUUUUUGAAAAAUUGGAGAGAGAGAGAUACAGCACAAACUUGAAGAAGUCUUGGAAGAAACACCAUAAGAAUUUGGAAUGUAAGAGGACAAGAGAGCAUGAUUCGAUUAGAGAAUGGUUGAACAAGCCGCAGGUAAGAAUUCACAAAUGAAUGAAAUUACCAUGAAUGAAUGAAGAUACAUGAGAACAAAGAGAUCAUGAUCGACCUGAAGAAUUUAGAACAUAUGUGGACAUUAGAAAUGAAUGGGAUACAUGAGAAUGAAAAGAUCUUGCGCCGCCUAACGGAAAACUUGAAUGAGGCACCAAAAUAAUUGAGAGACGAACAAAGAGACAACAAUUGAGAAGAAUUUGAGAUUUAAAGCUAAAAGGUGAGAAUGAAGAAAUCUUCUGAGAUGAUGGCCUUUGGAGGAUUGAGAAAUGAAAACAACUAUGUAAUCCACCGGUUAGAUAUGGAAGGAAUUACUCAUGACCAAAAACAAUUUGAAAGGAUAGAAAUAAGCUAAGACAACAAAUCUUAAAAAUAAUGGACAAAGAUUUAAGAGAAACACUUAUUCGGUCUUCAAUGUGGAGAAUGAUGAGAAUAAACACCACCAAAAUUACUGAGACACUCCGAGAUAAUGAAGAAACAAAGGUUGAGCCAAUGAUGAAAAUUAAUUGGAAGCGAUCUUGAAGAUGGAAUAUGACUGAUGGAAUCCAUUCUUACAUCAUAUUUGAAAAUAAUUAGAGAUCCUCGCAGACGAUUAGGAAAUCCAUGUAUGAUCCUAGGUAAACAUGUGGGUUAUGGGCCCACAAAAAAACACCGUUGAAAAGAUUGCUUAGAUUUAAAGACAUUGCACCAGUACAAAUGAAGAACUUGGUGAGAUGAGAGCCUUGAAAUAACUGAAGGAUUUGAAUGAAAACAUGAAACUUCUGAGAUAUCUACAACAAUCCAGAUAGAAUAGAGAGAGGAUGAAUAAAUAAGAGAGAGUUGAAUAAGAAUUUCCAACACAUGAACCGUUUAAAUGAUGAAAAGGAUAUGAUGAACACCGAAAUCUUGAAUUGAAUCCACGAGAGAAGAACACAAAAAUGAAGAAUGAUGAACUUAGAACUUGAGCAUAUUCACAUGGAACACAAAGGAUACAUUAUGGAGGAAAAGAUAGGGGAAGCAUAGAUGAAAUGAAAGGCACUAGGAUGACAAUUUAUUCAUUGAAGAAAAGGGCGGGGNNNNNNNNNNNNNNNNNNNNNNNNNNNNNNNNNNNNNNNNNNNNNNNNNNNNNNNNNNNNNNNNNNNNNNNNNNNNNNNNNNNNNNNNNNNNNNNNNNNNNNNNNNNNNNNNNNNNNNNNNNNNNNNNNNNNNNNNNGGGGGGGGGGGGGGGGAAAAACAAAGACAACUUGGGACAGAUCAGAUGAACUCCGGAAAGAAAUAAGAGAAUUGAUCUUGCAAAAUUUGGAGAGGAUUGUAUUAUCUUGAAGAGAAGUACUCCAGAUGGAAAAUAAUUUCAUGACAAUUUCGGUUUGAAAAUAAUUGAUAAACAAUUUGAUUGAGCAAAAGAAUUUAUACUCUCAUAUAAAUAUGAGAACACCACUUCAGAAGGAUAUGAGAUCACCACUUGACAUCAAUGCAACUCGAAUUACCAUACUCCAACAAAACAAAGGAUGAGGCUUACUAAACAAGCUGGAAUCAAAUAUAUGACAGAGAUUCUACGUGAUAUUUUCUUGGUCAGGUUCGCACGGGCUCGACCGUACAUUGGAUUGUCAUAUUGAAAUAACGCUCGAAUGUGCUCCCUAGGCGCAGCAAACUACAAGGCUUGACAAAGCAUAACGAGACUAUCCUCUUUAAAAAAGACCGUGAACAAACAAAUCCACUAGAUGUCGAACCCCAACCUCACAUCAUGUAUCUGUUGGGAGAUAAUUCUUGGUAAAUACUUAAAUUCCCACCUAAGAACUCAUAAAAGUUUCUGGUUAUGCAAUCGGGUCCACGAAUACAAGAAGUAAAAUCCAUCACCCAACUCCUAGCAAUAACACUGCCCAACCGGUGUGUCACAUAUGUCAACACAUAACUAGAGCUCUCGGAAACUCAUCUACCUCAGACCCUCAUAAUCACAAUGAUACCAAGUAUUGAAGUACAUCCGAACGCUCUCCACCGGUACUAGGGAUGCUAGACUCCUCUCUCCACUACUAGUAUUGAAGUAACUUCGAACAUCCUCCGUCUUGAGAUACUAAGGAAAGUGAACGAUAGCGAGUGUGACAAGAAUCCCCUGGAGCUCAACUCCUCGAUAACAAGAGGCACCAAGAACAAAAUCCCGGUCACAACGACAUCGUAGAGGUUCCAAAUACCCGCCUGAUCCUAAAUUUUUUUGAGUUAGAAGAGGAGUAGAAUUAAAAUUCCUAAGUCGUAAACCCCACCAGAGUAGGGAAGAGGAGUAAAAUGAAUCAUAUUCUCUGAUAUAUAACUAGACUCAAAGUAGUUUUUCACUAGACUCGGCUCGGCCAAGUUCGAUCAAUCAAUGGGGCUCCUAGGUCGGUACUUCUCUGAUACCAACUUGUAACACCCAAGAUCCGAUCCUAUUUUUAUUUUUGGUACGAGGGCCUUGACAGGGAUAGAAGUGUAUCUCGUCAUUUCACGAGAAUAGAUAUCGUUACAAGUACAUGUAUAGAAGAUAAGAGUAUAUGGAAUUGGCUUAGACUCACCACAAGCUACAACAUGAUCAACAAAACACAUGAAUACAUCCAAUCAUCAUAGAAAAGAGCAGGGUCCAACUACGGACGAAAUCAAACGAUAAAAGAACGACGUCCAUACUUGCUAUCCCAAGCUGCCGGCUUGGAACCCAUCCUAGAUCGAUGAAGAAGAAGAAGAAGAAGAAACUCCAAACAGAACAAUCAUCACGCUCACGUCAAGGUAUCGCUUUACCUGUACCUGCAACUGUUGUUGUAGUAAUCUGUGAGACACAGGGACUCAACAAUCUCAUUUCCAAAGGUAUCAAGACUAGCAAAGCUUAAUGGGUGAGGUAUGGUUAAGUGGUGAGGCUGCAGCAAGCACUAAGAAUUUAUUUGAGGAAGCUAACUUACGAGUACAAGAAUAAAAGGGGGAUGAUCUACGCAUAACGGACGUGACUAACGAUGAUCCUAAACACCUACUUGCGUUAGACAUAACCCCACCGAUUCCUCUUCCGGAAAAAGAACUCACGAGAAGAGACAGUCACGGUUACGCACACAGUUGGGAAGUUUUAAUUAAGUUUACUUCAAGUUAUCUAUAAUUGGAUGUUAAACAAAGUUUCCAAGUUUUCGACAUAACCGCGGGCACGGCUUUUCGAAAGAUUUAACCUUGUAGGGGUGCUCCAACUAGUCCAUCACAAACUACCACACGCUGCGGCGGAAACCUCGACCGCGGAAAACCCAUGAUCUCCUUAGAUUCUUGGUGGAAAACGUAAACCUCGAGAUAGCCCAAAGUAUCCUCGAAAUUGCUCACACAAGACGUUUGAGAAAGGUAAAACAAAUCCAGCAAGGCCGCCCGACGUGUCAACAAUCCCAAUAGGAGCCGCAUAUCUCGUUUUCAGGACACGACAGACGAGUGAUGGUUACCACGCCAAAACACGAGUUGCCCUGGGGAGCGUUAAUAAGUUGCUCUCGGUUGGACCAACACUCAUCAGGAGCACUCGCCCAGGGGUUGAUUAAUUAUCCAUGGGUUAAUUACUCCCUAUGCGGUUCAUUAGUUAUUAGGAAAAUAUAGUACCAAUAUUGGGCCUUGCCAGACGAGUUUUAUCCCAAAAUAAAAAUCUAGGGGGCCCCAUAAAUACCCCAAGCAUGUUAGGAGCGCUCAUUUAUGGAACAUAACACCGGUAGUCGAAACUAAGGAGGCAAAAGCGGAACAAAACACCCAGCCAAAAGACUAAGACUUCCACCUUUUACCACGUAUAUAGGUGCAUUAAAUUAAAUAGAAAUAAUAUGGUGAUAUAACAAGUAACUAUUUUUUUCAAAUGGAAGCAACUAUACCUACAACUAGCAACGCUAUAUGAAGGCUGAGCAGGCGGUAACGUAGCCAAACAGUGGUUUGCUCGGUUGUGGAAAGGUUAGAGGCUUUUCAUAGCAAUGUUGGGAGGCUUAUUAAACAUGUGGCAAGCAGCAAGACAUAGCGAAAGAAACGAGUCAACUAGCAUGGCAAUGAUAGUAAUGGUAUCUAGGGAAAUGGUCAUCUUGCCUGAGAUCCCACUUGGAAGAAGAACGAAUACGUGAAGCAGACAAACCAACGUAGUCGAACGAAUCCUCACACUCCGACACGCUUGCGGAACUCAAUCGAGAAGAAGUAACCCGGAAACAAGAAUCAACACACGAUAUGUUGGGGAAUGUAGCAUGGGAAACAAAAAAAUUCCUACGCACACGAAGACCUAUCAUGGUGAUGAUCAUCUACGAGAGGGGAGAUCGGAUCCACAUACCCUUGUAGAUCGCUAAGAGGAAGCUUUAAUAAACACGGUUGAUGUAGUGGUACGUCUUCACGAUCCGUCCCACAAACCGUCCCACGAUCCGUCCCACGAACCGUCUCGUGAUCCGUCUCGAUCAAGUGCCGAACGGAUGACACCUCCGCGUUCCGCACACGUACAGCUCGAUGACGAUCUCCACCUUCUUGAUCCAGCAAGAGAGAUGGGGAUGUAGAUGAGUUCCCCGGCAGCGCAACGAUGCUCUGGUGGUGUGGUGAUCUAUUCCUGCAGGGCUCCGCCCGAGCUCCGCAGAAAACCGAUCUAGAGGAAGAACUACGAAGUAGAGGUUUAGGGUUGCACAUGGCAAAGUUGUGUCUCAAACAGCCCUAAACCAGUAGUAUAUAUAGGAGGAGGGAGGGGAAGGCCUUGCGACACAAGGGAGGAGCCCUUGGGUCGGCAGAAGUGGAGGAGGGAGGAGUCCUCCUCGAAUCCCACUUGGAUUAGGACUCCUUCCUUAAUUUCCCACCUCUUUUGGAUUUUCCACUUUUUCCUCAUGGGCUUUCCUUGGAUGACUUUGUCAGCCAUUAAGCCUUAUUGCGCAUCCAAUAAACCCACGUGGACCCCUUGGGGCAUGGUGGGCCCACCCAGUGGGCCCCCGGAAACCAUUCGACACUCCUGGUACACUACCGGCAAUGCCCGUAAACCUUCUAGAAUCCAAAUACCAACUUCUUAUAUAUCAAUAUUCGUUUCUGGACCAUUAUGGAACACCUCGUGAUGUGCGGGAUCUCAUCCAGGACUCCUAACAAAACUUAGGUCACCAACACAUAUAACUCAACUAUACCGAAAUGUCAGUGAACCUUAAGUGUGCAGACCCUGCGGGUUCGAGAGUUAUGCACACAUGACCUGAGACACUCUCUGGUCAAUAACCAUUAGCGGGACCUGGAUGUUCAUAUUGGCUCCCACAUAUUCUACGAAUAUAUCUAUCGGUUGAACCUCUAUGUGAAGGAUUCAGUUAAUCUCGUAUGUUGUUCCCUUUGUCCUUUGGUAUGUUACUUGCCCGAGAUUCGAUCGUCGGUAUCUCCAUCCCUAGUUCAAUCUCGUUACCGGCAAGUCUCUUUACUCUUUCUGUAAUACAAGAUACCAUAACUAACUCCUUAGUUACAUUGCUUGCAAGGCUUGUUGUGAUGUUGUAUUACCGAGUGGGCCCCGAGAUACCUCUCUGUUACAGGGAGUAACAAAUCCCAGUCUUGAUUCAUGCCAACCCAACAGACACCUUUGGAGAUACCUGUAGAGCACCUUUAUAGUCACCCACUUACAUUGCGAUGUUCGAUAACCCAGAAGGUAUUCCUCCGGUGUCCGGGAGUUGCAUGAUCUCAUGGUCAUAGGAACAGAUACAUUGACAUGCAGAAAACAAUAGCAAUAAACUGACAUGAUCAUACGCUACGUUUAUAGUUUGGGUCUUGUCCAUCACAUCAUUCUCCUAAUGAUGUGAUCCCAUUAUCAAGUGACAACACUUGUCCAUGGUUAGGAAACCUUAACGAUGUUUGAUCCACAAGCUAGUCAACUAGAGGCUUACUAGGGACAGUGUUUUGUCUAUGUAUCCACACAUGAACAAAGAAAUAUAAUAAUAACUAAUUUAUUAUUGCCUCUAGGGCAUAUUCCCAACAGUCUUCCACUUGCACUAGAGUCAAUAAUCUAGUUCACAUCAAUAUGUGAUUUUAAGGAAUCCAACACCCAUAUAGUUCUGGGGUUUAAUCAUGUCUUGCUUGUGAGAGAGGUUUUAGUCAACGAGUCUGAACCUUUCAGAUUUGUGUGUGCUUCACAAAUCUCUAUGUUAUCUUGUAGAUGCUGCUACUACGUGCCAUUUGGAACUAUUCCAAAUGACUGCUCCACUAUACGAAUCCGCUUUACUCCUUAGAGUUAUUCGGAUUAGUGUCAAAGCUUGCAUCGACGUAACCCUUUACGACGAACUCUUUAAUCACCUCCAUAAUCGAGAAAAAUUCCUUAGUCCAUUAGUUACUAAGGAUAACUUUGACCGUUGUUCACUGAUUCAAUCUUGGAUCACUCUUUGUACCCCUUGACAUACUUAUGGCAAGGCACACAUCAGGUGCGGUACACAGCAUGGCAUACUUUAGAGCCUACAACUAAGGCAUAGGGGACGACCUUCGUCCUUUCUCUUUCUUCUGUCAUGAUUGGCUUUUGAAUCUUUACUCAAAUUCAUACCUUACAACACAGCCAAGAACUCCUUCUUUAUUGAUCUAUUUUGAACUCCUUCAAAAACUUGUCAAGGCAUGCAUUUCAUUGAAAGUUCUAUUUAGCAUUUUGAUCUAUCUCUAUAGAUCUUGAUGCUCAAUGUUCAAGUAGCUCUAUCCAGGUUUUCCUUUGAAAAACUCCUUUCAAACAACCCUUUAUGCUUUCCAGAAAUUCCACAUUACUUCUGAUCAACAGUAUGUCAACCACAUAUACUUAUCAGAAAUUAUAUAGUGCUCCCACUCACUUCUUUGGAAAUACAAGUUUCUCAUAACCUUGUAUAAACCCAAAAGCUUUGAUCAUCUCAUCAAAGCGUAUAUUCCAACUCUGAGAUGCUUCCACCAGUCCAUAGAAGGAUCGCUGGAGCUUGCAAACUUGUUAGCAUCCUUAGGAUCGACAAAACCUUCUGGUUGUAUCACAUACAACAUUUCCUCAAGGAAACCGUCGAGGAAACAAUGUUUUGACAUCCUAUGUGCAAUAUUUCAUAAAUAAUGCAGCAACUGCUAACAUAAUUCCAAUAGACUUUGAGCAUCGCUACGAAUGAGAAAGUCUCAUCAUAGUCAACUCUUUGAACUUGUCGAAAACAUCUUUGCGAUAAGUCGAGCUUUUCUUAAUGGUGACUUGUCACCAUCAUCGUCUGUCUUCCUUUUAAACAUCCAUGUGUACUUAAUAGUCUUACGACCGUCAAGUAGUUCUUCCAAAGUCUAUACUUUGGUUUUAUACACGGAUCCUCUCUCGGAUUUCAUGGCAUCCAGCCAUUUGUCGAAAUCCAGGCCCACCAUCGCUUCUCCAUAGCUCGUAGGUUCAUUGUUGUUCAACAACAUGACCUCCAAGACAGGGUUACCGUACUACUCUAUAGCAGUACGCGACCUUGUCGACUUACGAGGUUUGUAGUAACUUGAUCCGAAGCUUAAUGAUCACUAUCAUCAGUUUCCACUUCAAUUGGCAUAGGCGCCACAUGAACAACUUCUUGCGCCCUCCUACACACUGGUUGAAGUGACGGUUCAGUAACCUCAUCAAGUUCCACCACCCUCCCGCUCAAUUCUUUCGAGAGAAACCUUUCCUCGAGAAAGGACCCGUUUCUAGAAACAAACACUUUGCUUCCGGAUCUGAGAUAGGAGAUGUACGCAACUGUUUUGGAUAUCCUAUGAAGAUGCAUUUAUCCGCUUUGGGUUCGAGCAUAUCAGACUGAGACUUUUUCACAUAAGCGUCUUAGCCCCAAACUUCCAAGAAACGACAGCUUAGGUUUCUCCAAACCAUAGUUCAUACGGUGUCAUCUCAACGGAAUUACGUGGUGUCCUAUUUAAAGUGAAUGCGGUUGUAUCUAAUGCCUAACCCAAAACGAUAGUGGUAUUUCGAUAAGAGACAUUAUAGUAUGCGCUAUAUCCAAUAGGGCGCGGCUAUGACGUUAGGACACACCAUCAUACUAUGGUGUUCUAGGCGGCAUGAAUUGCGAAACAAUUUCCACAUUGUCUUAACUUUGUACCAAAACUCGCAGCUCAGAUAUUCGUCUCUAUGAUCAUAUUGUAGACAGUUUAUCCUCUUGUCACGACGAUCUUCACUCUGAAAUAGAAUUGAUCUUUUCAAUAUUUCAGACUUGUGAUUCAUCAAGUAAAUACUCAUGUAUCUACUCAAAUUGUUAGUGAAGUAAGAACAUAACAAUAUCCACUGCGUGCCUCAGCACUCAUUGGACUGCACACAUCAAAAAAUGUAUUACUUCCAACAAGUUACUUUCUUGUUCCAUCUCACUGGAAAACGAGGCCUUCAGUCAUCUUGCCCAUGUGGUAUGAUUUGCAUGUCUCAAGUGAUUCAAAAUCAAGUGAGUCCAAAUGAUCCAUCUGCAUGGAGUUUCUUCAUGCGUUUAUACCAAUAGGUAUGGUUUAAAUGUCUCAAACGUUUCAAAAAUGAGUGAGUACAAAGAUCCAUCAGCAUGAGUGCCACAAGUAAGUGGUACUCUCAUUACUACUUUGUAUCUUUUGGCAUCAAUAUUAUGAACAUGUGUAGCACUACGAUCGAGAUUCAGUAAACCAUUGAAGGUAAUUAUUCAAGCAAAUAUAAUAACCAUUAUUCUCUUUAAAUGAACAAUCGUAUUGCAAUAAACACGAUCCAAUCAUGUUCAUGCUCAAUGCAAACACCAAAUAACAAUUAUUUAGGUUUAACACCAAUCCCGAUGGUAGAGGGAGCGUGCGAUGUUUGAUCACAUCAACCUUAGAAUUACUUUCAACACACAUCGUCACCUCACCCUUGCUAGUAUCCUUCUAAUCCGUAGCUAUAAAUUCAAGUUACUAACACUUAGCAACUGAACCGGUAUCUAAUACCUUGGUGCUACUAGGAAUACUAGUAAGGUACACAUAAAUAUCAGGUAUAUCCAAUAUACUUUUGUCGACUUUGCCAGCCUUCUCAUCUACCAAGUAUCUAGGGUAGUUCAGCCUCAAUGACCGUUUCCUUCAUAACAGAAGCACUCAGUCUCGGGUUUGGCUUCAACCCUGGGUUUCUUCACUAGAACAACAACUGUUUUCCCAUUUCAUAAAGUAUCCCUUCUUACCCUUGCCCUUUCUUGAAACUAGUGGUUUUACUAACCAUCAACAAUUGAUGCUCCUACUUGAUUUCUACUUUCGCAGUCUUAAACAUUGCGAAUAGCUCAAGGAUCAUCAUACGUAUCCUUGAUAUGUUAUAGUUCAUCACGAAGCUCUAGUAGCUUGGUGGUAGUGACUUUGGAGAACCAUCACUAUCUCAUUUGGAAGAUCAACUCCCACUCGAUUCAAGCGAUUGUAGCACUCAGACAAUCUGAGCACAUGCUCAACGAUUGAGCUUUACUCCCUUACUUUGUAGACAAAGAAUCUUGACGGAGGUCUUAUACCUCUUAACAAGGGCACGAGCAUGAAAUCCCAAUUUCAUCUCUUGGAACAUCUCAUAUGUUCCGUGACGUUUCAAAACGUCUUCGGUGCCCCAAUUCUAAGUCGUUAAGCAUUACGCACUGAACUAUCACGUAGUCAUAAAAAACGUGUAUGUCAGAUGUUCGCAACAUCCACAGACGAUGCUCGAGGUUCAGCACACCGAGUGGUGCAUUAAGGACAUAAGCCUUCUGCGCAGCAAUGAGGACAAUCCUCAGUUUACGGACUAAGUCUGCAAAAUUGCUACUAUCAUCUUUCAACUAAAUUAUCUCUAGGAACAUAUAAAAACAGUAGAGCUACAACGCAAGCUACAACAUACUUUGCAAAGACCUUUUUGACUGUGUUCAUGAUAAUUGAGUUUAGCUAAUCAUAUUACUAAUAACUCCCACUCAAAAUAGACAUCCCUCUAGUCAUUUGAGUGGCGCAUGAUCCAAAUCCACUAACUCAAGUCCGAUCAUCACGUGAGUUUAGUAUAGUUUUAGUGGUGAACAUCUCCAUGUUGAUCAUAUCAACUAUAUGAUGCAUGCUCGACCUUUCAGUCUCUUGUGUUCCGAGGCCAUGUCUGUACAUGCUAGGCUUGUCAAGUUUAACCUGAGUGUUCCGCGUGGGCAACUGUUUUGCACCCAUUGUAUGUGAAUGUUGAGUCUAUCACACCCGAUCAUCACGUGGUGUCUCGAAACGACGAACUGUAGCAACGAUGCACAGUCGGGGAGGACACAAUUUUAUCUUGAAAUUUUAAUGAGGAAUCACCUUAUAAUGCUACCAUUGUUCUAAGCAAAAUAAGGUGCAUAAAAAGGAUUAACAUCACAUGCAAUUCAUAAGUGACAUGAUAUUGCCAUGAUCUUGUGCUUCUUGAUCAUCAUCACCAAAGCACCGACAUGAUCUUCAUCGUCACCGGCGCCACACCAUGAUCUCCAUCAUCGUGCCGCCAUCGAGGUUGUCGUGCUAUCGAUGCUAUUACUACUAAAGCUACAACCUAGCAAUAUAGUAAACACAUCUACAGGCACAAACGUUAGUUUAAAGACAAACCUAUGGCUCGUGCCGGUUGCCGUAGCAUUGAUGUGCAAGUAGAUAUUUAACUAUUACAACAUGAUCAUCGCAUACAUCCAAUAUAUCACAUCAUGUCUUUAGCCAUAUCACAUCACAUGCAUACCCUGCAAAAACAAGUUAGACGUUCUCUAAUUGUUGUUGCAUGUUUUACGUGGCUGCUAUGGGUAUCUACUAUGAUCGCAUCUUACUUACGCAAAAGCCACAACGGUAAUAUGCAAAUUGCUAUUUAACCUUUCUCCAAGGACCGCCUCGGUCAAAUCCUAUUCAACUAAAGUUUAAGAAACAGACACCCGACAGUCAUCUUUAUGCAACAAGUUGCAUGUUAGUCAAUGAAACCUGUCUCUCGUAAGCGUACGAGUAAGAUUGUUCCGGGCAGCUUUAAUCCAACAAUACCGCUGAAUCGAGAAAAGACUAAGGAGGGCAUAAAAUCGAACAUCAACGCCCACAAAAACUUCUGUGUUCUACUCGAGAUUUCAUCUAAGCAUGAACCUAGCUCAUGAUGCCAUUGUUGGGGAACGUAGCAUGGGAAACAAAAUUUUCCUACGCACACGGAGACCUAUCAUGGUGAUGAUCAUCUACGAGAGGGAGAUCGGAUCCACAUACCCUUGUAGAUCGCUAAGCGGAAGCGUUAAUAAACGCGGUUGAUGUAGUGGUACCUCUUCAUGAUCCAUCCCACGAAACAUCCCACGAUCCGUCCCACGAACCGUCUCGUGAUCCGUCCCGAUCAAGUGCCGAACGGACGACACCUCCGCGUUCCGCACAUGUACAACUCAAUGACGAUCUCUGCCUUCUUGAUCUAGCAAGAGAGACGGGGAUGUAGAUGAGUUACCCCGCAGCGCGACGACGCUCCGGUGGUGGUGGUUAUCUAUUCCUGCAGGGCUCUGCCCGAGCUCCGUAGAAAACCGAUAUAGAGGAAGAACUAUGAAGUAGAGGUUUAGGGUUGCAUGUGGCAAAGUUGUGUCUCAAACAGCCCUAAACCUCUAGUAUAUAUAAUUGGAGGGAGGGGGCAGGCCUUGCACCACAAGGGAGGAGCCCUUGGGUCGGCCGAAGUGGAGCAGGGAGGACACAUCCUCCAAUCCCACUUGGAUUAGGACUCCUUCCUUAAUUUCCCACCUCGUUUGGAUUUUCCACUUUUUCCUCAUGGGCUUUCCUUGGAUGACUCUGUCAGCCCAUUAUGCCUUAUUGCGCAUCCAACGAACCCACAUGGACCCCUAGGGGCGUGGUGGGCCCACCCAGUGGGCCCCUAGAAUCCAUUCAUCACUCCCGGUACACAUCCGGCAAUGCCCGAAAACCAUCCGGAAUCCAAAUACCAACUUCCUAUAUAUCAAUCUUCGUUUUUGGACCAUUCCGGAACUCCUCGUGAUGUCCGGGAUCUCAUCCGGGACUCCUAAAAAAACUUCGGUCACCAACACAUAAAACUCAACUAUACCGAAACGUCACCGAACCUUAAGUGUGCAGACCCUGCGGGUUCGAGAACUAUGCAGACAUGACCUGAGACACUCUCUAGUCAAUAACCAAUAGUGGGACCUGGAUGUCCAUAUUGGCUCCCACAUAUUCUAAAAAUAUAUCUAUCGGUUGAACCUCUAUGUCAAGGAUUCAGUUUAUCCCGUAUGAUGUUCCCUUUGUCCUUCGGUAUAUUACUUGCCCGAGAUUCGAUCGUCGGUAUCUCCAUACCUAGUUCAAUCUAGUUACCGGCAAGUCUCUUUACUCGGUCUGUCAUACAAGAUGAUGUAACUAACUCCUUAGUCACAUUGCUUGCAAGACUUGUUGUGAUGUUGUAUUACCGAGUGGGCCCCAAGAUACCUCUCCGUUACACGGAGUGACAAAUCCCAGUCUUGAUCCAUGCCAACCCAACAGACACCUUUGGAGAUACCUGUAGAGCACCUUUAUAGUCACCUAGUUACGUUGUGACGUUUGAUAACCCACGAGGUAUUCCUCCGGUGUCUGUGAGUUGCAUGAUCUCAUGGUCAUAGGAACAGAUACAUUGACAUGCAGAAAACAGUAGCAAUAAGCUGACACGAUCAUACGCUACGUUUAUAGUUUGGGUCUUGUCCAUCACAUCAUUCUCCUAAUGAUGUGAUCCUGUUAUCAAGUGACAACACUUGUCUAUGGUUAGGAAACCUUAACCAUCUUGGAUCAACGAGCUAGUCAACUAGAGGCUUACUAGGGACAAUGUUUUGUCUAUGUAUCCACACGUGUAUUUGUGUUUCCAAUCAAUACAAUUGUAGCAUGGAUAAUAAAAGAUUAUCAUGAACAAAGAAAUAUAAUAAUAACUAAUUUAUUAUUGCCUCUAGGGCAUAUUUCCAACAUGAUAUUCACCACACAUAUGCAUGACAUGAUGCACAAACACAUAUGAUGCAUGUCUAGUUUAAUUAUGCAAGGCAUGCCACAUCACAACAAUUGAAUACUACACAUUAAGUGAAGCUCACUAUGGACCAAGUUGCAUAUUGAAGAAACUCCACGUUUAAAUUAUUUAGUUCACUCCCGUUUAGGUACAUGACAAAGUUAAAUGUUGUUAAACAUGGCAAGAGGAGAAGCAUAAAUAAACUACACUAUCUAGGCAUUUUAAAUGAGGUCGGAAACAACAUAUAGCAUUUCCAAAAUAACCCCAUAUGUUAAUUUGGAAAUCUGUCCUGAUUUGAUCUGAACGUAUAUUAUAUUUAUUAAACAACAAACUAAAGUGGAGCAUGUGAUUCUACGCGUCAUUCUAGUCGGGUUACAUAUAUAGAACAUUGGAAAUGGAGCUAUGGCUUAAAAGAUAUGAGCUACACAAGAUGACACUGUAAGAAUGUAACAUGUAUGCAAAUUUCAGCCACAAGCAUGGUAAAACAUGGAUGGACAAGAUAAUAUGAAACUACAUGGAUAUUUACGCAAGUUUAAAUGAGGUCGGAGCAAUGAAUAACAAUUCUGAAAAGUCUCCAUAUAUAAUCUUGAAUUUGCUACAGAUCUGCCUAAAACACAAUUUCAUAGUUAUUAAGCAGCAAAAUAAAUGUCACCAUGUUAUUAUACACAUUUUUCAAACCAAGUUACAUAUAUGGAACAUUUUAAUCAGAGCUAAGCUUAAUUAGUUAUGAAAUAAACCAUUUUAACAUGACGUCUAUGCAAAUUUAGUUAAAAAGCACAUUUAAAUACUUUUAACAUGCAUGAAAGUGGCAUAUUCUUAAUCUACACAAAAUUCUAGACAUUUAAAUACUUUUAUGCAUGGUUAUUUAAUUACGAGCAUUUUAAAAUAUGCAUCUAUUCUGAAAUUAUAAACGUCCUAGCAAUUAAAUAAAUUCGGCCACGAGAAAAAAAACAUGGGCCGAAUCUCGAUCUGGCCCAACACGGGCACGUGGGCGUUGGAUGACUAAGUGACGCUGAGGGCGUAGCUUAGCAGGAAGGUUGGGGCUCACCUUGGCCAUCAUGGGCCGACUCGGGGAGGCGUCUGGGCCUUGUGGGGUGACGCGGCGAGGCUGGGCCGCAUGGGGGCGCCGGUCCACGCAUGCGUAGGCCGGGCGCUAGGCUGUGAAGCGGGCCGACUGGGCCGGCCCAUGCGGGGUCAACGCGAGAGACAAGCUCGUCAUCUCCCGAGCGAGAUGGGAGGCCAUAGCGGUGGCGAGGCAGCAGCUCGUCCUCGCGAGGCAGGGAAGUGGUACCGGGGGUUCCGGGAGGCGGAUCCGACCUCGGGGCCGCCGGAUCUGAAGCGGGGCGGCUGGCAACGGUGCUCGGAGUCGGGGCGGCGGCUUCCUGCAUGUAGAGCGGCCAUGGCUGUGCGGGGAGUUGCUGGCGGCACGGGCACUCCAGCGAGGCAAGCUCCGGCGAGGGAGCGAGGGGCGGACGCGCAAUGAGGCGACGUGCUCCGGCGGCAGGCCGACGAGGCGGCCUCUGGCCGGAGGCGGAGUAGAUCAGAGAGGCGGCUUUGGCGCUACAGGGGAGCCAUGGGAAGGCUUUGGCAGCUACGGGCACAAGCUUGCGGCGACAGCUACGGUGGCCCGAUCUGGGCCCGGGCGGGCUAGAUCUGGGUCCUGCGGGCCCGUGGCGUCUGGGAGGAAGCGCGGGUCAGUUCGCUAGCAGUGGAGCCCGUGGUGGAAGAGGGGUUAGGUCUAAAUGAGGCAGGUUGGGGUAUAUUUAUAGCAAAAUGGGGCUAGGG
Molecule: long non-coding RNA, 17349 nt
Filed under: Hordeum vulgare
Lineage: Eukaryota; Viridiplantae; Streptophyta; Magnoliopsida; Poales; Poaceae
Description: long non-coding RNA (HVUL_LNC015982)
Source: RNAcentral